GGGCACCCGCAAGGGGCUCUCACCACGAGAUGAGUCCGCGUCCCAUCAGCUAGUUGGCGGUGUAAUAGACCACCAAGGCUUAGACGGGUAGCUGGUCUGAGAGGAUGACCAGCCACACUGGGACUGAGACACGGCCUAGACUCCUACGGGAGGCAGCAGUGGGGAAUAUUGGACAAUGGGCGAAAGCCUGAUCCAGCCAUGCCGCGUGAGUGAUGAAGGCCUUCGGGUCGUAAAGCUCUGUGGGGAGGGACGAAAAAGCGUGACCUAAUACGUCUCGCCUUGACGGUACCUCCUUAGCAAGCACCGGCUAACUCCGUGCCAGCAGCCGCGGUAAUACGGAGGGUGCAAACGUUGCUCGGAAUUAUUGGGCGUAAAGCGCACGUAGGCGGUCCGCUAAGUCGGAUGUGAAAGCCCUCGGCUUAACCGAGGAAGUGCAUCCGAAACUGACGGGCUAGAGUACGGAAGAGGGUUUCGGAAUUCCCGGUGUAGAGGUGAAAUUCGUAGAUAUCGGGAGG
This 515-nucleotide ribosomal RNA is filed under the name uncultured bacterium. RNAcentral's name for it is "bacterial SSU rRNA". It matches the Rfam family "Bacterial small subunit ribosomal RNA", at positions 193 to 704 of the family's 1533-position model. The record is from RNAcentral.